This 1374-nucleotide long non-coding RNA is filed under the name Cyanistes caeruleus (blue tit). RNAcentral's name for it is "lncRNA (ENSCCEG00000023372.1)". The record is from RNAcentral. Lineage: Eukaryota; Metazoa; Chordata; Aves; Passeriformes; Paridae.
CCCGCAGCCCUCAGCUGAGCCCGGCCCCGAGGGGCUCCGGCCUCCAGCCCGCUGCGGGACUCGCCGGGCCGCUACCCGCAAUGGCCAUGCCCGGGGGUCGUGGGGUCUCCACAGCCCGCGGCCUCGCCAGCCUCACACCUCACACGCCUCGAUCCUGCCUUGCGGCCCGCGUCGGAGCAGGGACACGCAGGAAUGAGACCCUCGGUGGUUCCUUCCCCCGCCAGGUGCCUGCCCUUGGCACUUUGUCACACGUGGGAGCUGGCGAAGCACCGGUGCAGCCUCGCCACUCUGAACAGGAGUAUUCGGCAUGAAAAGCAGAGUUAGUUGUUCCGCGAGCAGCCAGCACACCAAAUCACAAAUGUUUUAAAGAGGAACGGAGUUGGGAGCAGCAUCCCCUUUCCAAGUGAGAACUGAACCCUGCACUCUCUGGAGUCCUUCACUACGGCUUGGCUGGCUGGGUAGUAGCUGAUGGAUGAGUGUCCUUCCUGGCCAGCCACUGUGCUUUUUCUCCUGCACUCCCAGCAGAGAAUGAGAGACCAAGGAUGUUCCAUGUGCCCCUGUGGAGCACAGCUGCACUGCCAAAUGAAGAUGUGCUCUGGUCUCACACUUGUGCUGAAGUUCAAGGCAAGAAUACCAGUAAGGCAGGACAGGAAUCACCCUGGACAUGUGUGUCCCAACCCCUGUAGCCACAACAGCACCCUGGUGGCUGCUUUCUCCACCUGCAUGUUUCUCAGCAUCUGCCUUUUGUGGCUCUCCAGUGGCUGCACUGUCACUUUAUUCCCUGUGAAGUUUGGUCCUUAACACAUCAGUGAAGCUCAGAGAGUUUUAUUCCCUGCUAGAAAAGUGUUCACUUGACAACCUUUAGGGAAACUGAAAUUAGUGAAUGCAUUUGAUGUCCACACUCAACUGCUGUUUCUUGGGAUGCUCCUUUUCUGUUUCAUGAGGGCCAUAUCCUGCAAUUGGGUCUGCUGUGGUGUGCAUACCAAUAUACUCAUUAUGUAUAUCCUUUUCUAUAUGGUUGUAUGUGUUGCUGACAAACCUUAUUUGCUCUAUAUGUUUUGGUUUUAAAUAUGACAGAAGAGAGAGAGCAUGACAAUUCUUGUAACCUUUGUUAGCUACUUGGUGUGUCUAAUUUUUGCAAAUAAGCUGGAUUACAGAAAGCAAAAUUUAACAUUUGGAUGUGCUCAAACUAAAAAUGUUAUGUCUUCUCAUUGGUAAGGCCCACUUUAUAGAGGCUGUACCUUGAGUUUCUCUACAGUUGAAGUCCACAGACAAUAAGCUCUUUUGUGUCCAAUCUGGCUGAAAUGCAUUGAAAAAGUUGUAUUCCUUUUCUGCUUCAUUAACCAAUGGAAUAAAAGGUUGCUGUUUAUAGCA